RNAcentral lists this ribosomal RNA (253 nucleotides) under uncultured bacterium. RNAcentral describes it as "partial 16S ribosomal RNA". It matches the Rfam family "Bacterial small subunit ribosomal RNA", at positions 524 to 776 of the family's 1533-position model. The record is from RNAcentral.
GACGGAGGGUGCAAACGUUGUUCGGAAUUAUUGGGCGUAAAGCGAGUGUAGGCGGUUUGAUAGGUCGGAUGUGAAAGCCCAGGGCUCAACCCUGGAACUGCGUUCGAAACCAUUAGACUUGAGUACGAAAGAGGGUUGUGGAAUUGUCGGUGUAGAGGUGAAAUUCGUAGAUAUCGGCAAGAACAUCAGUGGCGAAGGCGACAACCUGGUUCGAUACUGACGCUCAGACUCGAAAGCGUGGGGAGCAAACAGG